Chenopodium quinoa (quinoa) is the source of this 1287-nucleotide long non-coding RNA. RefSeq lists it as uncharacterized. The transcript is spliced from 2 exons. NCBI's taxonomy places the organism in Eukaryota, Viridiplantae, Streptophyta, Magnoliopsida, Caryophyllales, Amaranthaceae. The record is from RefSeq and is a predicted model, not a curated record.
UACAUGUAAUACCCGUAAAAUUUAUGUAUAGUUAUUAUUUUCUUAAAGGGGGAAUUUUCUGAUUUAAAAUAUUAUUUUGAUUUUUAAGUUUGGAAAAGAAUAUUUUUUUUUUGGUACAAUGCAAAUAUUUCUAAUAGUAUGACAAACAGUUUUGAUAAGGAUGAAAUGAUUUUAGUAUCUUAAUUAAACUGAUUUUAUCAAUAUUAUAUCUUUAUGAUUUUAUUAAUCUUAAAAAAAAAAACAGUGAGUUAAUGGGGAAACAAAAUCUUGUAUGGUCAUCACCCUCAACCUUUGCUAUUCCCCUCAUUAAGUGAUGGUUAACAAUUCAAUCAUACCUAUGAAUGAAUGACUCUUUACAUUCAUCAGUUACAAUGUACCAAAUCAGCAAGCAUCAACCCUAAACUCUUCACUAACCCCCUCUACAUUGAUAUAUAUAUACUCCCCUAUUCAUUUAUCAACAUCAAACUUUCAAUCUCUCCAAAUUUUGGAUUCUGAUCUCGUAUUCUUGGUAAGAAUCUAUCAGUUCUUCCUACUUUCAGCCAAAAAUUAGAGUUAAAAAAAAUUAAUUUAGGAAAAGGGUCACCAUUGGAGCCGUAAUUUUGCGAGGUCACCAUAUCCGUUGUUGAAGCUAUUGUUAUUGUUCUUCUAAUUCUUUCUCCAUACUCCUUUCUUCCUCAAUUUAGCCUGCAACUCAAAGUUUUCAUGGGAUUUGAUUACGUAUCUUUUAAAAAAAAAAUAAAAAAUUGGGUAGGUGCCCUGUUUUUUCGUGAAAAUGGAGCAUGAAAACUCCACUUUGUAUUGUCUUUCUUUUUUUUGGUUUUGGGAACUUGUACGCAAUACUGGUUCCUUUAUUAUUAUUUUUACUUUUUUUUUUAUCUUAUUUUAUUAUUAUUUUUACUUUUUUAUCUUAUUUUAUUAUUUUAUUGUUAUUACUAUUAUUAUUAUCAUCCUAGUUUUUCCUAACCUUUUUAUUAAGGUUGUGUACAAGAUUGAGUUAAUAUAUUGGUCAUACUAACUUAGGUUUUUUUUUAUAUAUAUAUUCGCUUGUUGAUAGACGGAGGCUACAUAGGUGAUCGCUCGGGAAAUUAGUAGGAGGAAAUUACGUGCUAUCAAGGUUUGUAAGACGGGUUGGUUCGAGUGAGGACGUAUCAUAGAAUAAGACAAUUUGACCUUGCCGUCAUUUAGUAUACUUUUGGUUUAAGUUUUAUGUUAAGUUUGGGUUGUAAUAAGUUAUACUCGUUUUAGACCACCUAGCUAUGGUAUAAUAGUUUAAUGUUUGUUUUUAUC